AGAGUUUGAUCAUGGCUCAGGAUGAACGCUAGCUACAGGCUUAACACAUGCAAGUCGAGGGGCAGCAUGUUGGUUGCUUGCAACCAACGAUGGCGACCGGCGCACAGGUGAGUAACGCGUAUCCAACCUACCCUUGUCCAUCGGAUAACCCGUCGAAAGGCGGCCUAACACGAUAUGCGGUUCACGGCAGGCAUCUAAGGUGAACGAAAUGUGAAGGAGAAGGAUGGGGAUGCGUCUGAUUAGCUUGUUGGCGGGGUAACGCCACAAGGCUACGAUCAGUAGGGGUUCUGAGAGGAAGGUCCCCCCANAUUGGAACUGAGACACGGUCCAAACUCCACGGGAGCA
This 345-nucleotide ribosomal RNA is filed under the name uncultured bacterium. Its description in RNAcentral is "bacterial SSU rRNA". It matches the Rfam family "Bacterial small subunit ribosomal RNA", at positions 8 to 349 of the family's 1533-position model. The record is from RNAcentral.